This 239-nucleotide ribosomal RNA is filed under the name Salmonella enterica subsp. enterica serovar Welikade. RNAcentral's name for it is "partial 16S ribosomal RNA". It matches the Rfam family "Bacterial small subunit ribosomal RNA", at positions 209 to 447 of the family's 1533-position model. The record is from RNAcentral. Lineage: Bacteria; Pseudomonadati; Pseudomonadota; Gammaproteobacteria; Enterobacterales; Enterobacteriaceae.
GGCCUCUUGCCAUCAGAUGUGCCCAGAUGGGAUUAGCUUGUUGGUGAGGUAACGGCUCACCAAGGCGACGAUCCCUAGCUGGUCUGAGAGGAUGACCAGCCACACUGGAACUGAGACACGGUCCAGACUCCUACGGGAGGCAGCAGUGGGGAAUAUUGCACAAUGGGCGCAAGCCUGAUGCAGCCAUGCCGCGUGUAUGAAGAAGGCCUUCGGGUUGUAAAGUACUUUCAGCGGGGAGG